RNAcentral lists this ribosomal RNA (252 nucleotides) under uncultured bacterium. RNAcentral describes it as "partial 16S ribosomal RNA". It matches the Rfam family "Bacterial small subunit ribosomal RNA", at positions 524 to 776 of the family's 1533-position model. The record is from RNAcentral.
UACGGAGGAUGCGAGCGUUAUCCGGAUUUAUUGGGUUUAAAGGGUGCGUAGGCGGGCUGUUAAGUCAGCGGUAAAAUUUGGAGGCUCAACCUCCACGAGCCGUUGAAACUGGCGGUCUUGAGUGCGCGGAAGGCAGGCGGAAUUCGUGGUGUAGCGGUGAAAUGCUUAGAUAUCACGAAGAACCCCGAUUGCGAAGGCAGCCUGCCGCAGCGUUACUGACGCUGAAGCUCGAAAGCGCGGGUAUCGAACAGG